GGAGGAGGGAUAGCAUCAAAGAUUGCAUGACACAUUAAAUGAAAAAGUCUGGAGCAAGUUAUAUAAGCCUAACUGAGCUCUGAAACGGCUCUGAAACGGAAUCUUGCAGCAUAUCCUGGAAAAGCAAAUGGAUACAGUUCCUUGUACCUAUAUCUGUGAACUUUCAUGGGAGCUCAUGCAGUGGAGUAGCUCAGAUGGAAACAAGAUAUGAUUCAGAGAUACAAGCAUGGACACUGUUAUGGUAUCGAACUCAGGACCUUGUGCUUGCAAGGCAGGCAUUGGAACAUCCAAACUAUAUCUCCAGCCCUAGUUGGGCCUUGUUGACUGGCUCAGCCUCAUAGACUUUUUCAGCUUUUGAUGACUCUGAUAGUUUUAAGAACAACUUGCUGCAUUGGUGGAAUUUCCAGGAUUAUGCUGAGUAAUUGUGUGUCCUGUCAGUGGUCUCUCUAGAGGGAGACCAGAGACCCCAGAGAGCAUCAACCUUUAAAGAAAGAAAAGGAGACAGCCUGAGGGAUGAACAGCAGUUUAUUCUCCUGACACUGUUUGACAGUCACAAAGGAAAAAGCAUUCUGGACACCAUGAUGUGAGCAGGUUUUCUCUGCCAUAUUUUCCACCAUGCCCUUACUGCCUUGGAGCCAGCCAUCUAUUGACUGAAUCUCUUAAAAACCUUGCACCAAAAUAAACUACUCUUCCUCUAAAUUUGGGGUGCAGGACAUUUUAUUCCAGUGACAGGAAAAGAGACCAAAACAGAGUCUAUUACUGAAAGAAGGGCUGUUUUGUGAUAACUUGACCUUGUGGAUCAUAAGCCUUUGGAACUGGUUUGCAGGAGGAAUUUCAAAACGUUUGAAGAUUCUAGCUAAAAGAGCCAUAGAAUACUGUAAACUGAGCUUGAUAGGAGACUCUUGUUGAGGAUAAUAAUGCUAAUAAGAAUGAAGAAGGUAUACAAGGCUCAGGAGGAUUCAGUUAGGAGCAAGGAUUCCAUUGGCAAUUGGACCAGAGACCAUGUGUGUUAUCCUUUGGCAGAAAAUUUAUCAGCAGUUUGUUUCUGUCCUGAGCCUUUGAGGGAGAAUGAGAUUAAGGAGAGGGGGUGGACUAAUUAAUUUAACAAAAGAAAUUUCAAGGAAGCCCAACAUUCAGCAUAUGACAGGGGUUAUUCUAGAUGCUUUCAACCAGAUUUAGUGAGAAUUAGGAGCAAAGAGACCAUUUGGAAGUUUUCAGUUUUGCCAGUAAGAAUGCACUUAUAAAGUUGGGGCAAAGGAAGGCAUGAUUGCUUAAGAGAUUAACACAUAAAAAGAAGCCAAGUAUUUUGCAUGAAAAAAAUAGUAAAAAUGGCUUUGAGGCAUCUUAGGAAUUGGCAAUUCAGCCUAUCUUUCCCAGGCUCAAAGGUGUAAAAGAGGAAAGGUCUCCUUUGAAAAAUUUUUCUGUGAGAAGAGAGCCCCAAGAACCACUACUGGAGAAAGACCCCUUAGGGAAUUGAUCUUUAUGGUUGAGAUCACAGUACUCAGUUAUUAGGCCCUCAGAGACCUCUACAGCCAUGAUGCGAAUGGGUUCAGCUACUACUGAAGCUAGCAGUAGACCUUAGCAUCAUCCAUAUGGUGCUGGUUUUACAGGCAUGCAGAAUGCAAGAGUUAUAAGGUCAGGGAGGCUUCUACCUAGAUUUCAAGAGAAAAGCUGGGAGACCAGACAGUGUUCUCCUGUUAGGGCAAUAAGUGAAACUGUGAGAGUAAAACAAAAUGGAGUGAAGAUCCCAAGAAGUUGGAGAAGCCAGGAAUGUAGAAUGCCUGCUGAAGAAAGCUGCAGACAAUGAGAAAAUUCACCCUCAAAAUCAAGCAAUGAAGGAUGCAAGUGGAUGCUAUAGAAGUGAGGCUGUCUAAGCCAUUUGGAGUUCACAUCUCACCUGGACAUGGAACUGUACAAUAUAAUGUUUGUUCUGCUGAGCUUCAAUCUUGCAAUUAUCCUAUUCCUUUCUACCUCCCUAUUUCACCUUUUGGAGUCAGAAUGUAUUUAACAAAAUGGGAGUAUUUAACUUUCUUUUUGUUUUUACAGGGGCUCAUAGCUAAGGGUUUGCCCUGAGUUUCAGAAGGAAUUUUGGUCUUGGAUUUGUUAAGACUGUUAGAGGACUAAAUGCAUUUUGCAUAUUGACAUGCACAUGAGUCUUUUGAGGUUCAGGGAGAAACGUUGUGAUUUAUAUCUGGAAUGCUCCUGCUAAAGCUUUAUGUGAUGGGAUUAUGGGAGUGGUGUACUUUCCUGCUGAAAGAUGUCAGGGAAAGUGUUAAAGUGAUGAGUCAUCUGGAAUAUACAUGUUUGCUGAAGUGACCUUGGCUGCAUGCCUUUCUGCAGGGAGGCUGGCUACCUCCUGUAAGUUGUGGAUAUCAAGUAUUCUGUCUCAGUGAUUAGAAGUGUGACUAAGACACCAUCAGAGUAUCAUUAAAAUUAUUCCACUGCAUUAAAAAAAUCAAAUGUGCUUCACAUAUUGUACAUAAUACCUGGUAACAACUGAUGCACCCAAACAAAUGACAAUCAUUGUAUUGCUAUUGUAUCACUCUCUCUAUAGGUGUUCCCUGUUUAUAGUGUUGUACUAUUGCAAUCACAUAGUAGGUAGCUUUCACAAAUCCUGAUACUUCAUUUUUGUAAAUUUUUGAAUUAUAAUCCACUAUGUGAAUUUUUAAAAUUUCUGUGUAAUACACAGCAUAGUUGUACCAUUGUUUGCUUAUCCUUUUAUCUAUUAAAUUCCUUUUUUAU
Heterocephalus glaber (naked mole-rat) is the source of this 2742-nucleotide long non-coding RNA. The record is from Ensembl. NCBI's taxonomy places the organism in Eukaryota, Metazoa, Chordata, Mammalia, Rodentia, Bathyergidae.